This is a non-coding RNA of Cinara cedri, 217 nucleotides long. The record is from the annotation of a GenBank genome assembly. Lineage: Eukaryota; Metazoa; Arthropoda; Insecta; Hemiptera; Aphididae.
AUUUUGCAUUUUACAUUUUGACUAUGAUAUAACAAUAAUAAUAAUAGUAAUAUUUAUUGGACACCAAUUACAUGAUAUAUACAGACAUACAAUGAAUAAUAAGACUGGUUCUCUUUUAAAAAGCAAGCUUGUGCUGAAAAGAGAGAGUUUGUGAUAGAAGUUGUCGUGAUAGUAGAAAAACACCGAUAGUAUAUAUUAAAUUACAUGCUGUAUUGGA